This 345-nucleotide ribosomal RNA is filed under the name uncultured Veillonellaceae bacterium. RNAcentral's name for it is "partial 16S ribosomal RNA". The record is from RNAcentral. Lineage: Bacteria; Bacillati; Bacillota; Negativicutes; Veillonellales; Veillonellaceae.
GGAGUAUGGACCGUGUCUCAGUUCCAUUGUGGCCGUUCAUCCUCUCAGACCGGCUACCGAUCGUCGGCUUGGUAGGCUUUUACUCUACCAACUACCUAAUCGGACGCAGGCUCCUCGCAAAGCGAUAAAUCUUUAGUGCAGAAUCCAUGCGAACUCCGCACAACAUCCGGUAUUAGCGUCCCUUUCGGAACGUUGUCCCCGACUUUGCGGCAGAUUACCUGCGCUUUACUCACCCGUUCGCCACUAAGUCAUCCCAAUUGAUUCUACUUUGAGCAAGCUCUCCAUUUCAUCGGGCGGGACGCUUCGUUCGACUUGCAUGUGUUAAGCACGCCGCCAGCGUUCAUC